GACGAACGCUGGCGGCGUGCUUAACACAUGCAAGUCGAACGGAAAGGCCCUGCUUUUGUGGGGUGCUCGAGUGGCAAACGGGUGAGUAACACGUGAGUAACCUGCCCUUGACUUUGGGAUAACUUCAGGAAACUGGGGCUAAUACCGGAUAGGAGCUCCUGCUGCAUGGUGGGGGUUGGAAAGUUUCGGCGGUUGGGGAUGGACUCGCGGCUUAUCAGCUUGUUGGUGGGGUAGUGGCUUACCAAGGCUUUGACGGGUAGCCGGCCUGAGAGGGUGACCGGCCACAUUGGGACUGAGAUACGGCCCAGACUCCUACGGGAGGCAGCAGUGGGGAAUAUUGCACAAUGGGCGGAAGCCUGAUGCAGCAACGCCGCGUGCGGGAUGACGGCCUUCGGGUUGUAAACCGCUUUCGCCUGUGACGAGGCGUGAGUGACGGUAAUGGGUAAAGAAGCACCGGCUAACUACGUG
RNAcentral lists this ribosomal RNA (468 nucleotides) under uncultured bacterium. Its description in RNAcentral is "partial 16S ribosomal RNA". It matches the Rfam family "Bacterial small subunit ribosomal RNA", at positions 28 to 507 of the family's 1533-position model. The record is from RNAcentral.